This 309-nucleotide ribosomal RNA is filed under the name Triticum aestivum (bread wheat). RNAcentral describes it as "partial small subunit ribosomal RNA". The record is from RNAcentral. Lineage: Eukaryota; Viridiplantae; Streptophyta; Magnoliopsida; Poales; Poaceae.
AUGGAGGGGAGUGAAGGGUCUUGGUAUGAAGCAUUAGCUGCAACCCCUUUUACCGAUGUCAUGAAUUUGGAGCCGGUAUCCCCGUCCCACAUACGGCCGCUACUGUCAUUGUCUUGGUUUGAUUCUCCGCAAUUUAGGAGGACAAGGCCAGAGUCCAUGGAGUCGUUAUCAGCUGCCAUGGCAAUCGACAAGAGUACCAAGAGUGUAAGGCACGUGAGUGUGAUUGGUAGGGUUGGGAAUGCCAUUGUUAUGGUUGGUGUACCAAGAUCAAAAAAUUGGACACUUCUGUUUGCUACAAGAUGUCUCUAG